This 148-nucleotide non-coding RNA is filed under the name Pan troglodytes (chimpanzee). The record is from Rfam by way of RNAcentral. Lineage: Eukaryota; Metazoa; Chordata; Mammalia; Primates; Hominidae.
GCCGGGCAUGGUGGUGCAUGCCUGUAAUCCCAGCUACUAGGGAGACUGAGGCAGGAGAAUUGCUUGAAUCCAGGAGGCGGAGAUUGCAGUGAGCUGAGAUCACGCCACUGCACUCCAGCCUGGACAACAGAGCAAGACUCUGUCUCAA